This 493-nucleotide ribosomal RNA is filed under the name uncultured bacterium. RNAcentral describes it as "partial 16S ribosomal RNA". It matches the Rfam family "Bacterial small subunit ribosomal RNA", at positions 30 to 507 of the family's 1533-position model. The record is from RNAcentral.
AGUGAACGCUGGCGGUAGGCCUAACACAUGCAAGUCGAACGGCAGCACAGUAAGAGCUUGCUCUUACGGGUGGCGAGUGGCGGACGGGUGAGGAAUACAUCGGAAUCUACUUUUUCGUGGGGGAUAACGUAGGGAAACUUACGCUAAUACCGCAUACGACCUACGGGUGAAAGCAGGGGAUCUUCGGACCUUGCGCGAUUGAAUGAGCCGAUGUCGGAUUAGCUAGUUGGCGGGGGAAGGGCCCACCAAGGCGAAGAUGGGUAGCUGGUCUGAGAGGAUGAUAAGCCACACGGGAAAGGAGACACGGUACAGAGUCCUACGGGAGGCAGCAGUGGGGAAUAUGGCGCAAUGGGCGAAAGCUUGAGGCAGAAACGCCGAAGGAGUGAUGAAGGCCGUCGGGUCGGAAAGCUCGGUCGGGAGGAAGGAAUGCUCCUGAGGGUAAGAGCAUCGGGAGGUGACGGUACCUUCAAAGGAAGCACCGGCUAACUCUGUG